UACGUAGGGUGCAGGCGUUAAUCGGAAUUACUGGGCGUAAAGCGUGCGCAGGCGGUUUCUUAAGUCAGAUGUGAAAGCCCCGGGCUUAACCUGGGAACUGCGUUUGAAACUGGGAGACUUGAGUGUGGCAGAGGGGGGUGGAAUUCCGGCGUGUAGCAGUGGAAAUGCGUAGAGAUGCGGAGGAACACCGAUGGCGAAGGCAACCCCCUGGGCUGACACUGACGCUCAGGCACGAAAGCGUGGGGAGCAAACAGG
RNAcentral lists this ribosomal RNA (255 nucleotides) under uncultured bacterium. Its description in RNAcentral is "partial 16S ribosomal RNA". It matches the Rfam family "Bacterial small subunit ribosomal RNA", at positions 524 to 776 of the family's 1533-position model. The record is from RNAcentral.